GACGAACGCUGGCGGCGUGCCUAAUACAUGCAAGUCGAGCGGACCGACGGGAGCUUGCUCCCUUAGGUCAGCGGCGGACGGGUGAGUAACACGUGGGUAACCUGCCUGUAAGACUGGGAUAACUCCGGGAAACCGGGGCUAAUACCGGAUGCUUGAUUGAGCCGCAUGGUUCAAUUAUAAAAGGUGGCUUUCAGCUACCACUUACAGAUGGACCCGCGGCGCAUUAGCUAGUUGGUGAGGUAACGGCUCACCAAGGCGACGAUGCGUAGCCGACCUGAGAGGGUGAUCGGCCGCACUGGGACUGAGACACGGCCCAGACUCCUACGGGAGGCAGCAGUAGGGAAUCUUCCGCAAUGGACGAAAGUCUGACGGAGCAACGCCGCGUGAGUGAUGAAGGUUUUCGGAUCGUAAAACUCUGUUGUUAGGGAAGAACAAGUACCGUUCGAAUAGGGCGGCACCUUGACGGUACCUAACCAGAAAGCCACGGCUAACUACGUGCCAGCAGCCGCGGUAAUACGUAGGUGGCAAGCGUUGUCCGGAAUUAUUGGGCGUAAAGCGCGCGCAGGCGGUUUCUUAAGUCUGAUGUGAAAGCCCCCGGCUCAACCGGGGAGGGUCAUUGGAAACUGGGGAACUUGAGUGCAGAAGAGGAGAGUGGAAUUCCACGUGUAGCGGUGAAAUGCGUAGAGAUGUGGAGGAACACCAGUGGCGAAGGCGACUCUCUGGUCUGUAACUGACGCUGAGGCGCGAAG
Molecule: ribosomal RNA, 749 nt
Filed under: uncultured Bacillus sp.
Lineage: Bacteria; Bacillati; Bacillota; Bacilli; Caryophanales; Bacillaceae
Description: bacterial SSU rRNA
Rfam family: Bacterial small subunit ribosomal RNA
Source: RNAcentral